Molecule: long non-coding RNA, 285 nt
Filed under: Lathyrus oleraceus (garden pea)
Lineage: Eukaryota; Viridiplantae; Streptophyta; Magnoliopsida; Fabales; Fabaceae
Description: Pisum sativum (pea) long non-coding RNA (PSAT_LNC040651)
Source: RNAcentral
GUUGAACUACUGAAUAUUUAUUUAUUUUUCUUUAAAUUUUAUUUAAGUUAGUAAAUCCUAUUAAUGAGAAUUCAAUGAUGUUUGUUAUCCUAACAACUAUGAGUCGUGGUUGUUAUAUAUAGUAAGUUUUUUUGGGAGGAUGGACCAACGCUCUUUUGUGAGAUUGGUAUAACUCUUUUUGGAACAACAUUUCUCAUUGUUAGGAGGAUUGCAAGUGUAAUACGAGGCCUUUGAAUUUUCUUUUGGCUUCUUUCUUCUUAUGUUAAGGGUUGUGUGUAACACUCU